RNAcentral lists this ribosomal RNA (406 nucleotides) under uncultured bacterium. Its description in RNAcentral is "bacterial SSU rRNA". It matches the Rfam family "Bacterial small subunit ribosomal RNA", at positions 28 to 425 of the family's 1533-position model. The record is from RNAcentral.
GAUGAACGCUAGCGGCAGGCUUAAUACAUGCAAGUCGAGGGGCAGCACGUCCCGCAGCAAUGCGGGAUGGUGGCGACCGGCAAACGGGUGCGGAACACGUACGCAACCUUCCUUUAAGUGGAGAAUAGCCCGGGGAAACCCGGAUUAAUACUCCGUAACAUUAUAAAGUGGCAUCACUUUAUAAUUAUAGAUUCAUCGCUUAAAGAUGGGCGUGCGCCUGAUUAGGUAGUUGGCGGAGUAAUAAGCCCACCAAGCCUGCGAUCAGUAACUGGUGUGAGAGCACGACCAGUCACACGGGCACUGAGACACGGGCCCGACUCCUACGGGAGGCAGCAGUAAGGAUAUUGUCAAUGGACGCAAGUCUGAACCAGCCAUGCCGCGUGGAGGAUGAAGGUCCUCUGGAUUG